This 1379-nucleotide ribosomal RNA is filed under the name metagenome. RNAcentral's name for it is "bacterial SSU rRNA". It matches the Rfam family "Bacterial small subunit ribosomal RNA". The record is from RNAcentral.
AGAGUCUGAUCCUGGCUCAGGAUGAACGCUGGCGGCGUGCUUAACACAUGCAAGUCGAACGAUCCUUCGGGAUAGUGGCGGACGGGUGAGUAACGCGUGGGAAUCUGCCCUCAGGAGGGGGAUAACGGCUGGAAACGGCCGCUAAUACCCCAUAUGCCGAGAGGUGAAAUGAAUUUCGCCUGAGGAUGAGCCCGCGUCUGAUUAGCUAGUUGGUGGGGUAAAGGCCUACCAAGGCAACGAUCAGUAGCUGGUCUGAGAGGAUGAUCAGCCACACUGGGACUGAGACACGGCCCAGACUCCUACGGGAGGCAGCAGUGGGGAAUUUUCCGCAAUGGGCGAAAGCCUGACGGAGCAACGCCGCGUGAGGGAUGAAGGCCUCUGGGCUGUAAACCUCUUUUCUCAAGGAAGAAGACCUGACGGUACUUGAGGAAUAAGCCACGGCUAAUUCCGUGCCAGCAGCCGCGGUAAUACGGGAGUGGCAAGCGUUAUCCGGAAUUAUUGGGCGUAAAGCGUCCGCAGGCGGCCUUGUAAGUCUGUUGUUAAAGCGUGGAGCUCAACUCCAUUUAAGCAAUGGAAACUACAAGGCUGGAGUGUGGUAGGGGCAGAGGGAAUUCCCGGUGUAGCGGUGAAAUGCGUAGAUAUCGGGAAGAACACCAGUGGCGAAGGCGCUCUGCUGGGCCAUAACUGACGCUCAUGGACGAAAGCCAGGGGAGCGAAAGGGAUUAGAUACCCCUGUAGUCCUGGCCGUAAACGAUGAACACUAGGUGUCGGGGGAAUCGACCCCCUCGGUGUCGUAGCCAACGCGUUAAGUGUUCCGCCUGGGGAGUACGCACGCAAGUGUGAAACUCAAAGGAAUUGACGGGGGCCCGCACAAGCGGUGGAGUAUGUGGUUUAAUUCGAUGCAACGCGAAGAACCUUACCAGGGUUUGACAUCCUGCGAACCCCUGAGAAAUCGGGGGGUGCCUUCGGGAGCGCAGAGACAGGUGGUGCAUGGCCGUCGUCAGCUCGUGUCGUGAGAUGUUGGGUUAAGUCCCGCAACGAGCGCAACCCACGUCUUUAGUUGCCAGCAUUCAGUUGGGCACUCUAGAGAGACCGCCGGUGAUAAACCGGAGGAAGGUGUGGAUGACGUCAAGUCAUCAUGCCCCUUACAUCCUGGGCUACACACGUACUACAAUGCUACGGACAAAGGGCAGCAAGCUCGCGAGAGUUAGCAAAUCCCAUAAACCGUGGCUCAGUUCAGAUCGUAGGCUGCAACUCGCCUACGUGAAGGAGGAAUCGCUAGUAAUCGCAGGUCAGCAUACUGCGGUGAAUACGUUCCCGGGCCUUGUACACACCGCCCGUCACACCAUGGAAGUUGGCCAUGCCCGAAGUCGUUACAC